This is a long non-coding RNA of Phyllostomus discolor (pale spear-nosed bat), 2693 nucleotides long. RefSeq lists it as uncharacterized. The transcript has 3 exons. The record is from RefSeq and is a predicted model, not a curated record. Lineage: Eukaryota; Metazoa; Chordata; Mammalia; Chiroptera; Phyllostomidae.
AUGUGACAUACUUAUUUUGUUUACCUGCCUGGCUAGACUUUUUGUUCUUUUUGGAAUCCAGACUGUAUAUUGUACUAGCUAACAAUUUCUUAUAUCCUCGUCACAAGGUGGAGUGUAUAGUACACACAGCAAAUACCCUUGCUAAUACAAGGACAUUAAUUUGGAUCCAAGAACAGUGGAUAAUGCUCUUAAUAACUGGCUGCAGGAGCAUACCACAGGAAGAUUUUUAUUUUUUGCUCACACUUCUUCAUUACAUAUGUCAUUCGCCAAGAAAAGUAAUUAGCUCUUGAAUGCUGUUUCUUUUUUUUUGAAAAUUCUCUUCAUAUACAAAUUAUAUUAUGUUUAUAAAGAACAAUAUGUAAGCUCUUUUGGCACCUGUCUCAAAAAGUCAGCCCAUAAAAAGGUCAAGAUUCAAGUGUGUGGCAAUGCUCUCUCCAUUUUCAAGAGCCUGGAAGGUGUACUUUCUUUUUAUAACUGUGUUUCUACAUCAAGGGUCGCUAAAAUGUGUAGCUGCUUUAUAAUUGCACAGGAGCAUUGCAAGAAAUUGAAUUCUAAUAUUGAUGCUUCCCAUUCUUAAUGUUGCGGUCAUGUUUUCUUUCAAUUAAUUAGAAACAUAACGUUUGUUAUAGGAAAAUGCCUGAAGCAAAACGUGAUUCCAGGUACCAAUCAAAGGGGAAAACAAAGCUCUCGAUGCUCACUGCAUGAACACUCUCUCUUUUAAGGUUAAUGCAACGGAAAGAAACGGCAGGGGUUUUGUUGUUUUACUUACUAGAGGAAGCACUUUUAUUUAGAAGCAAAUGAAAGCAUCUUAUUUAACUGUUUGAAAGGUAACUCUUGCCAAAUGAUGAUAGAAAUAUUUAACAAUAUUAUUUUAGUCAAUUUAGCUAAUUAAGCUUGCGCUGCAUCUUGUGAUUGCUUUGAGUCCUUCAAGAAUUUUGAAACAUCAGAGAAAGAAAAGAAUUUUUAUGGAAGGCAGCUGCAGAGCUGAGUUGAGAUGACACAUGAAAUAAUAACUCCAGUAGAGCAAGUCUCGCAUAUUUCAUGGAGACACAUUACACUGUACGUAGUAAUACUUCAGUACUUUAAGAUGCAAUAAACCACUGUAUUGAACACACGCUGGGUGAAUAUAUUUUGUUUCCUUGUGUUUUUCUUUUUGACUCUCCCCCUCUUAGAAUUGGCUGUUCACAUGUUAGCUCUCAUUUAGCUUUUUCUCAUUAAAAUAUUGAACAAUUUGUUAUUUUUAAGGUCUCACUUCCUCCUAACAUGACAAGCCAUCUAUGAUCUCUGUGAGCCCUGUUUUCGCCACACUCUGUGACUUCCUGUGGUGAGUGCAGCAGGACAAAGACUGAGGUUCUCCAGGAUGUGAACAUGAGUUUAUGUCUAUCUAGAAUCAGUUUCAACGGACAUCCUAGGGUCGCAGGUAUUAACUGCUACCAAAUCCUAAGACAAAAGACAUUCAAGUAAAGGAGACAAGAAAAAAACAGCUUUUCAACACUUGCCUGAACCUUCAAAGUGGAAGAAUCUAAAAAACCCAAAGUAUUCCUAAGGAGGGCUCAGUAAGAUGCCACCAUAACCAUUCUAAAAUGAAACUAAAAAGAGUUAUCUUCCACACUUGGACCAAUGAGGCACCACCAGCUUGAAACAUGGACCCCACAGAGAGCAGACAGAAGACAGGAGAGGAUGGAAAAGAAAAUGAUGUAACAUCAGGGAAACUAAACUGGAAGCUCAUUCAAUGGCUGACAGCACUUGAAAUGAUGUCACUGGUAUGAACUGUGUGAGCCACAGUGCAGUACUGAAUAUACCCUUGGCCAACAGGAGUCAACUGCAACCUGUUACACAAACAUAAUCAAAUGACCAGAUAAAUUAAGUCUUAGGAGAGAGAAUUAUCUUCUGUUUUAUCCUGAGAAAUACACCCUGACUUUUCAGAUGCUCCAAAGUGCCAGGACAGGCGUGCCAAAAGAUUUCACUAAAAACAACAUUCUCUGAAAGAAAAUGGUUAGUAAAGUUUAGUGAGGAGAGAAUUUCCACUUGUUCUGAAAAGGCUUUGUUCUGGUGUUCAGACUAUGAUGGAUGAUUUCCAGACCCUUAAGUGAGCAGAGCCUCAUGAACUUUGAGAUUUGUCUUUUUUCAAGAAGGGAUUCAGCAAAAAGAAACUGAUGGAAAGUGUGCUUUUACCUGUAUACAGAGAAGGGAGUUGGCUAGAUUUUUUUUAGAAACUAAAAGAAAAAAAAAAACCCAACACCAAGAAUCACAAAUCUUGACUCAUUGUUUUAUAUUUGUUUUUCUUGUUUUAAUUCUAACCUACUAUUAUUCAGUAAAUAGCUUUCCAUAAUACAUAUAGAUUCGCAUUGCAGUAUAACCCUCUAUAAUAAGGUGAUGUAUAACAGAGUUAAUUAAUUAAUGCAAUUUCAAUUUACUUUGCUUUCCAGAGACCAAGUCUCUGGAGUGAAAUAUCUACAGUUAAUGAUCAGCAGAGACUAAACUGAGGUCAUUGUAUUACCAACUCCCAAAUUUAAUUUUACAGAUGAGAAAGAGAUUAUUAAAGUGUGUUUCCCUUUCAAAUUUAAUAUCUUAUUUUGUAGAUCUUUAUCAUCUUUUAUCACUUUGCUUCCUUCUUAGCUGGUGUUUUCCCUUAUACGAUUUAUUCAUUUUCCAGGCCUUUAGAAUUAAAAGCUGCAUAGCCAGCAUCAUGA